GUUUGAUCAUGGCUCAGAACGUACGCUGGCGGCACGCCUAAUACAUGCAAGUCGAACGGAGUAGCAAUACUUAGUGGCAGACGGGUGAGUAACAUGUGGGUAUCUUCCCUUUGGUGAGGAAUAACACGAGGAAACUUGUGCUAAUACCUCAUAAGUCUUUACGGAGAAAGCUUUAUGCGCCAAUGGAUGAGCCCGCACUUGAUUAGUUUGUUGGUAGGGUAAUGGCCUACCAAGACUGUGAUCAAUAGCUGAUUUGAGAGGAUGAUCAGCCACAUUGGGACUGAGACACGGCCCAAACUCCUACGGGAGGCAGCAGUAGGGAAUCUUGCACAAUGGAGGAAACUCUGAUGCAGCGAUGCCGCGUGAGUGAAGAAGGCCCUUGGGUUGUAAAGCUCUUUCGUCGGGGAAGAAAAUGACUGUACCCGAAUAAGAAGGUCCGGCUAACUUCGUGCCAGCAGCCGCGGUAAUACGAAGGGACCUAGCGUAGUUCGGAAUUACUGGGCUUAAAGAGUUCGUAGGUGGUUAAAAAAGUUGGUGGUGAAAGCCCAGAGCUUAACUCUGGAAUUGCCAUCAAAACUUUUUAGCUAGAGUUUGAUAGAGGAAAGCAGAAUUUCUAGUGUAGAGGUGAAAUUCGUAGAUAUUAGAAAGAAUACCGAUUGCGAAGGCAGCUUUCUGGAUCAUUACUGACACUGAGGAACGAAAGCAUGGGUAGCGAAGAGGAUUAGAUACCCUCGUAGUCCAUGCCGUAAACGAUGUGUGUUAGAUGUUGGAAAUUUAUUUUCAGUAUCACAGCGAAAGCAAUAAACACACCGCCUGGGGAGUACGACCGCAAGGUUA
RNAcentral lists this ribosomal RNA (837 nucleotides) under marine metagenome. RNAcentral describes it as "bacterial SSU rRNA". It matches the Rfam family "Bacterial small subunit ribosomal RNA", at positions 11 to 896 of the family's 1533-position model. The record is from RNAcentral.